GCCAGACUCCUACGGGAGGCAGCAGUGGGGGAUAUUGCACAAUGGGGGGAACCCUGAUGCAGCGACGCCGCGUGGGUGAAGGAGUAUUUCGGUAUGUAAAGCCCUAUCGGCAGGGAAGAAGCAAGACGGUACCUGACUAAGAAGCCCCGGCUAACUACGUGCCAGCAGCCGCGGUAAUACGUAGGGGGCGAGCGUUAUCCGGAUUCACUGGGUGUAAAGGGAGCGUAGACGGCCAUGCAAGCCAGGGGUGAAAGCCCGGGGCCCAACCCCGGGACUGCCCUUGGAACUGUGCGGCUAGAGUGCGGGAGGGGCAGGCGGAAUUCCUGGUGUAGCGGUGAAAUGCGUAGAUAUCAGGAGGAACACCGGUGGCGAAGGCGGCCUGCUGGACUGCAACUGACGUUGAGGCCCGAAAGCGUGGGGAGCAAACAGGAUUAGAUACCCUAGUAC
RNAcentral lists this ribosomal RNA (447 nucleotides) under uncultured bacterium. RNAcentral's name for it is "partial 16S ribosomal RNA". It matches the Rfam family "Bacterial small subunit ribosomal RNA", at positions 330 to 793 of the family's 1533-position model. The record is from RNAcentral.